This 245-nucleotide ribosomal RNA is filed under the name unidentified marine eubacterium p712-55. Its description in RNAcentral is "partial 16S ribosomal RNA". It matches the Rfam family "Bacterial small subunit ribosomal RNA", at positions 1137 to 1382 of the family's 1533-position model. The record is from RNAcentral.
ACUCUGAAAGAACUGCCAGUGAUAAGCUGGAGGAAGGUGGGGAUGACGUCAAGUCCUCAUGGCCCUUAUGUGUUGGGCUACACACGUGCUACAAUGGUAUUUACAAUGGGAUGCAAAGAGGCGACUCCAUGCAAAUCCCUAAAAAAUACCUCAGUUCGGAUUGUACUCUGCAACUCGAGUACAUGAAGCUGGAAUUACUAGUAAUCGUGGAUCAGCGCGCCACGGUGAAUACGUUCCCGGGUCUU